CCUACGGGUGGCAGCAGUGAGGAAUAUUGGUCAAUGGCCGAGAGGCUGAACCAGCCAAGUCGCGUGAGGGAUGACGGCCCUACGGGUUGUAAACCUCUUUUGUCGGGGAGCAAAGAGAGUCACGUGUGGCUCAUUGAGAGUACCCGAAGAAAAAGCAUCGGCUAACUCCGUGCCAGCAGCCGCGGUAAUACGGAGGAUGCGAGCGUUAUCCGGAUUUAUUGGGUUUAAAGGGUGCGCAGGCGGAGGCACAAGUCAGCGGUAAAAUCGCGGGGCUCAACCCCGCUCCGCCGUUGAAACUGUGUCCCUUGAGUGCGCGAAGGGUAGGCGGAAUGCGUGGUGUAGCGGUGAAAUGCAUAGAUAUCACGCAGAACUCCGAUCGCGAAGGCAGCCUACCGGCGCGCAACUGACGCUCAUGCACGAAAGCGUGGGUAUCGAACAGGAUUAGAUACCCCUGUAGUC
RNAcentral lists this ribosomal RNA (459 nucleotides) under uncultured bacterium. RNAcentral's name for it is "partial 16S ribosomal RNA". It matches the Rfam family "Bacterial small subunit ribosomal RNA", at positions 338 to 795 of the family's 1533-position model. The record is from RNAcentral.